Molecule: ribosomal RNA, 512 nt
Filed under: uncultured bacterium
Lineage: Bacteria
Description: partial 16S ribosomal RNA
Rfam family: Bacterial small subunit ribosomal RNA
Source: RNAcentral
GACGAACGCUGGCGGCGUGCCUAAUACAUGCAAGUCGAGCGAGCGAAACUAACAGAUUUACUUCGGUAAUGACGUUAGGAAAGCGAGCGGCGGAUGGGUGAGUAACACGUGGGGAACCUGCCCCAUAGUCUGGGAUACCACUUGGAAACAGGUGCUAAUACCGGAUAAGAAAGCAGAUCGCAUGAUCAGCUUUUAAAAGGCGGCGUAAGCUGUCGCUAUGGGAUGGCCCCGCGGUGCAUUAGCUAGUUGGUAAGGUAAAGGCUUACCAAGGCGAUGAUGCAUAGCCGAGUUGUGAGACUGAUAGGCCACAUUGGGACUGAGACACGGCCAAAACGCCUACGGGAGGCAGCAGUAGGGAAUCUUCCACAAUGGACGCAAGUCUGAUGGAGCAACGCCGCGUGAGUGAAGAAGGUUUUCGGAUCGUAAAGCUCUGUUGUUGGUGAAGAAGGAUAGAGGUAGUAACUGGCCUUUAUUUGACGGUAAUCAACCAGAAAGUCACGGCUAACUACGUG